AACGAACGCUGGCGGCAGGCUUAACACAUGCAAGUCGAGCGCCCCGCAAGGGGAGCGGCAGACGGGUGAGUAACGCGUGGGAAUCUACCUUUUGCUACGGAAUAACGCAGGGAAACUUGUGCUAAUACCGUAUGUGUCCUUCGGGAGAAAGAUUUAUCGGCAAGAGAUGAGCCCGCGUUGGAUUAGCUGGUUGGUGGGGUAAAGGCCUACCAAGGCGACGAUCCAUAGCUGGUCUGAGAGGAUGAUCAGCCACAUUGGGACUGAGACACGGCCCAAACUCCUACGGGAGGCAGCAGUGGGGAAUAUUGGACAAUGGGCGCAAGCCUGAUCCAGCCAUGCCGCGUGAGUGAUGAAGGCCCUAGGGUUGUAAAGCUCUUUCACCGGAGAAGAUAAUGACGGUAUCCGGAGAAGAAGCCCCGGCUAACUUCGUGCCAGCAGCCGCGGUAA
This 447-nucleotide ribosomal RNA is filed under the name uncultured Hyphomicrobiales bacterium. RNAcentral describes it as "bacterial SSU rRNA". It matches the Rfam family "Bacterial small subunit ribosomal RNA", at positions 29 to 523 of the family's 1533-position model. The record is from RNAcentral. Lineage: Bacteria; Pseudomonadati; Pseudomonadota; Alphaproteobacteria; Hyphomicrobiales.